This 203-nucleotide long non-coding RNA is filed under the name Manacus vitellinus (golden-collared manakin). RNAcentral describes it as "lncRNA (ENSMVIG00005018021.1)". Lineage: Eukaryota; Metazoa; Chordata; Aves; Passeriformes; Pipridae. The record is from RNAcentral.
GCGUGGGAGCAGGGGGGAAAAUCUUUCCAAUGCUACCCCCUCCCUUCCCCCCGUGGCAGAAUAGGGAGGGAGGGCGGACCUCGGGCCCAGUUUGGCUUUGCCUUCAUGGACAGCAGCAACCAUCACCUGUCUGCCACGGCAAUAGAUGCCUCUGCUUGCUCCAGAUGUCCUUCUCCUGCAGACCAGAGAACACCUCUUGCUAA